CAAUCAGCCCUGUAUUUCCCCCCUUUUAGAGACUGACAAAUCAAUCUAAUCUGCUUUAGCGACCACUUUUGUUGCUUUUAUAAGCUCUUUGAGUGUAGCGAUCAUGUCUAACUUAUACUUCCAUAUUCUCCACCACCAGCUUAUAGUAUGCACUUCACUUGAAUGCUGAUUGAGUCAGCUAUAUGGCUUGAACCCUUUCUUACAAGGAAAAGAUGAGGUGUCAAGGGAAAUCAAGCCUUUCCUUUCUGAAACCUAAACCCCCCAAACUGUCACUUUUCAACUAUAUUAAAAAGCCCACAAAAGAGCAGAAAGAAAAAAAAUGCUCCUGAACAGGGAAAGAUGGAUAAAAUUCUCUUACUCGGGGAGAAAAGGAAACGGUGAGUCUGAAUAGGAUCUCUGAGCACUUUG
RNAcentral lists this long non-coding RNA (408 nucleotides) under Monodelphis domestica (gray short-tailed opossum). RNAcentral's name for it is "lncRNA (ENSMODG00000040339.1)". The record is from RNAcentral. Lineage: Eukaryota; Metazoa; Chordata; Mammalia; Didelphimorphia; Didelphidae.